GCUUUCUUAGUAUAUAAGUACAUUUGACUUCCAAUCAAAAAGUUUGUUUAUCAAAGUUAAGCA
RNAcentral lists this transfer RNA (63 nucleotides) under Eucriotettix oculatus. RNAcentral describes it as "tRNA-Gly". Lineage: Eukaryota; Metazoa; Arthropoda; Insecta; Orthoptera; Tetrigidae. The record is from RNAcentral.